AGAGUUUGAUCCUGGCUCAGGAUGAACGCUAGCUACAGGCUUAACACAUGCAAGUCGAGGGGCAGCAUGUUGGUUGCUUGCAACCAACGAUGGCGACCGGCGCACGGGUGAGUAACGCGUAUCCAACCUACCCUUGUCCAUCGGAUAACCCGUCGAAAGGCGGCCUAACACGAUAUGCGGUUCACAGCAGGCAUCUAACGUGAACGAAAUGUAAAGGAGAAGGAUGGGGAUGCGUCUGAUUAGCUUGUUGGCGGGUAACGGCCACCAAGGCUACGAUCAGUAGGGGUUCUGAGAGGAAGGUCCCCACAUUGGAACUGAGACACGGUCCAAAAUCCUACGGAGGCA
RNAcentral lists this ribosomal RNA (345 nucleotides) under uncultured bacterium. RNAcentral describes it as "bacterial SSU rRNA". It matches the Rfam family "Bacterial small subunit ribosomal RNA", at positions 8 to 350 of the family's 1533-position model. The record is from RNAcentral.